Small nucleolar RNA from Lactuca sativa (garden lettuce), 140 nucleotides. RefSeq annotates it as small nucleolar RNA snoR136. Lineage: Eukaryota; Viridiplantae; Streptophyta; Magnoliopsida; Asterales; Asteraceae. The record is from RefSeq and is a predicted model, not a curated record.
GUGGCUUUAUAUACUGUGAAUGAGGAUUUGCUACAAUUUAGUAUUGGCAAAUUUUAAUGGAGUGAAGCCUAGAAAAAAUGUUCCCCUCGCUAUCCGGUGCAACCAUCAAUGUAGCAUUUGGACGUUGGGAAACAACAUUU